This 250-nucleotide ribosomal RNA is filed under the name uncultured Pseudomonas sp. RNAcentral describes it as "partial 16S ribosomal RNA". It matches the Rfam family "Bacterial small subunit ribosomal RNA", at positions 103 to 355 of the family's 1533-position model. Lineage: Bacteria; Pseudomonadati; Pseudomonadota; Gammaproteobacteria; Pseudomonadales; Pseudomonadaceae. The record is from RNAcentral.
CGGGUGAGUAAUGCCUAGGAAUCUGCCUGGUAGUGGGGGACAACGUUUCGAAAGGAACGCUAAUACCGCAUACGUCCUACGGGAGAAAGCAGAGGACCUUCGGGCCUUGCGCUAUCAGAUGAGCCUAGGUCGGAUUAGCUAGUUGGUGAGGUAAUGGCUCACCAAGGCGACGAUCCGUAACUGGUCUGAGAGGAUGAUCAGUCACACUGGAACUGAGACACGGUCCAGACUCCUACGGGAGGCAGCAGCC